CCUACGGGCGGCAGCAGUGAGGAAUAUUGGUCAAUGGGCUUACGCCUGAACCAGCCACGUCGCGUGAGGGAUGACUGCCCUCUGGGUUGUAAACCUCUUUUGCCAGGGAGCAACGAUGCCUACGUGUAGCCGGCCUGAGCGUACCUGACGAAUAAGCAUCGGCUACCUCAGUGCCAGCAGCCGCGGUAAUACGGAGGAUGAGCGCGUUAUCCGGAUUUAUUGGGUUUACAGGGUUCGUAGGCGGACUGCCAAGUCAGCGGUAAAAUCGCGGGGCUCAACCUCGCUCCGCCGUUGAAACUGGCUUACUUGAGUGGGCGAGAAGUAUGCGGAAUGCGUGGUGUAGCGGUGAAAUGCAUAGAUAUCACGCAGAACUCCGAUUGCGAAGGCAGCAUACCGGCGCCCAACUGACGCUGAAGCACGAAAGCGUGGGUAUCGAACAGGAUUAGAUACCCUGGUAGUC
RNAcentral lists this ribosomal RNA (460 nucleotides) under uncultured bacterium. Its description in RNAcentral is "partial 16S ribosomal RNA". It matches the Rfam family "Bacterial small subunit ribosomal RNA", at positions 338 to 795 of the family's 1533-position model. The record is from RNAcentral.